RNAcentral lists this transfer RNA (77 nucleotides) under Lautropia mirabilis. Its description in RNAcentral is "tRNA-Arg". It matches the Rfam family "tRNA". Rfam says of the family: Transfer RNA (tRNA) molecules are approximately 80 nucleotides in length. Their secondary structure includes four short double-helical elements and three loops (D, anti-codon, and T loops). RNAcentral also lists the same sequence under 4 other names. Lineage: Bacteria; Pseudomonadati; Pseudomonadota; Betaproteobacteria; Burkholderiales; Burkholderiaceae. The record is from RNAcentral.
CUGCCCGUAGCUCAGCUGGAUAGAGCAUCAGCCUUCUAAGCUGAGGGUCACAGGUUCGAAUCCUGUCGGGCAGGCCA